This is an RNA transcript of Acinonyx jubatus (cheetah), 8756 nucleotides long. It is a transcript of the gene named tripartite motif containing 44, with no coding region annotated. NCBI's taxonomy places the organism in Eukaryota, Metazoa, Chordata, Mammalia, Carnivora, Felidae. The transcript is spliced from 6 exons. The record is from RefSeq and is a predicted model, not a curated record.
GCGCCGCGGGAGGAAGCGCAGCGGGCGCCGAGCGGCGGAGCCGGCGGGAAGGCCCCUCGCUCCUACGCCUGGCGCGAGCGGGCGGCGGCGGUGCCGCCGCGGCCCCAGGCCUGUCCCGAGACCCGGCGCGGCCAGUUCCUGGGACGGGACCCCUGCGGGGAGGAGGACGGGAGGAGGCCCCGCGGCGAGCUCGGAGGCCCAGCGGCCUGGGCCGCGUCACCGCAGCCACAUGGCCUCCGGAGUGGGCGCGGCCUUCGAGGAGCUGCCGCACGACGGCACGUGUGACGAGUGCGAGCCAGACGAGGCCCCCGGGGCCGAGGAAGUGUGCCGAGAGUGCGCCUUCUGCUACUGCCACCGCCACGCCGAGGCGCACAGGCAGAAGUUCCCCAGCCACCACCUGGCCCAGUACGUCCACGGCGCCGCCCCGGCCUGGACCGCGGACGCCCCCGCGCAGGGCGACGCGAAGGCAGAUGCCCAGGCCAAGGUGGAGAAUGAGAGGGAUGUAGAGAGCGAGGUGGGGGAGGAGAGCGAGUCCGAGGAAGACAGUGAAUCCGAAGAAGAGAGCGAGACGGAGGAAGAGAGUGAGGAUGAGAGCGAUGAAGACAGUGAAGACGACAGUGAGGAAGAGAUGGAGGAUGAGCAAGAGAGCGAAGCAGAGGAAGACAACCAAGAAGGAGAAUCUGAGGCCGAGGGAGAAACGGAGGCAGAAAGCGAAUUUGACCCAGAAAUAGAAAUGGAAGCGGAGAGAGUGGCCAAGAGGAAGUGUCCGGACCAUGGGCUCGAUUUGAGCACCUAUUGCCAGGAAGAUAAGCAGCUUAUCUGUGUCCUGUGUCCAGUCAUUGGGACUCACCAGGGCCACCAGCUCUCCACUCUAGAUGAAGCCUUCGAGGAACUAAGAAGCAAAGACUCUGGCGGACUGAAGGCGGCUAUGAUCGAGUUGGUGGAAAGGUUAAAGUUCAAGAGCUCAGAUCCUAAAGUAACCCGGGACCAGAUGAAGGUGUUUAUACAGCAGGAAUUUAAGAAAGUUCAGAAAGUGAUUGCUGAUGAGGAGCAGAAGGCCCUUCAUCUAGUGGACAUCCAGGAAGCAAUGGCUACCGCUCAUGUGACUGAGAUCCUGGCAGACAUCCAGUCCCACAUGGAUAGGUUGAUGACUCAGAUGGCCCAAGCCAAGGAACAACAUGAUACCUCUAAUGAAUCAGCUGAGCCAAAGGCAGAGGGUGACGAGGAAGGACCCAGGGGGUAGAGCAGAAAUCGGCUGAAACCUUGAAAGGAGCAUCCUAAUUAAAAGGGUGAGAGGUGGAUGCCUCUCACCUCAGGACAGACAGGAUUGAAACUGAAACCAGUGUCUGACCCAGAGACAUCCUGCCCUAAGUCCCCGGGAUGGUGUCUUGGUGCCGGGCCCUUUGGCACGACUGUUGGCUGGAGCCCACAAGAACCAAGAUGUGAAGACGUCGGUUUAAAGAGGCCUCCCACCCACGGUCUCAUGCUGAUGUGUGUGGACCGGGGCCUUGAAGCCCUGUCUCCGGUUCUUAGCUGUGUGCUUUUCCCACCGUCCCUACCAUCACAGUGGCUAACCCUGCUCUCCCACUUCUGGACCCGUGCCUCAGCUGGUGUUUCUACAGAGGGAGGGAGGAGAACCACGAAUAAGGCCCCCUUUACUUCCACCUUGGCCUGCUUGACUCUCUCCCUCUGCACACCAUUAGGGGAAGGGAGGAUAGCUAAAGUUGAGAACCCAGACCUGCCUUGAGCACAGCUCACAGCUGGAUUGUGGAGGGCUGGAAGUUGCCAAACAUGCAGCUAUUUUAUAAGGAGGCCAGAUGAGAACAUUUCCUCACGCGGAGGAAUUGGCUCUUCAGAUUUCCUUGCUUGGGGAGGACUGGACUUGAGCUUGCUUCUGCUUUGCCCUCAGUGACACAGCAUUCCUUGGACACACCCAUCCUUUACCAGUAAGGCUUAGUCAUUUGUAAGAGUAACCAUGUCUGAUACAGCAUUCUCAGCCACACCUGGUGCCUCCCCCCACCCCCUUGUGGUUCUGUGUGCCCGGUGAUUGCAGUGACAGAAAAGAGAUAGAGCUUGGGCUCACCUGUAGAAAUCAGCUGUCCAUGAGAUUCCUGGGAAGUAUCUCUGAGACUGGCAAGCUGCCCGCAGUUAACCUGGGAAGGCUUGGAAGGUUUCUAGAACAAUAAUACCUCAAGGAGUUAUUUUGAUAAUUCACUGGGUCGUUCAUUCAAAAAAUAUUUGGUGAGGUUUCCCUGGUGUCAGGCACAUUAUCCGGUACUGGUGAUACAGCAGGGAACAAAAUACUUAAGGACGCUUAGCAUCUCAGAGUAGCUUUAGGUAGUGACAGGUGCUGUGGAGACAAUACAACAGUCUGACGUAAUUGUGCAGGACUGGGGUGGCUGCUCUAGACUGCUUGGUCAGGGGAAGCCUCUGAGAAGGUGACAUUGAAGCUAAGACCUGAAUGUUAAGGAGCCAGUCACUCCAAGCCAUGAGGGGAAGAACUUAGGGAAUCAAAGAGCAAUGCCAAAGCCUUCAUGCAGGAACAGGCAAAGCCAGUGUGGCCAGCAGGUGGCUUGAAACGGGUUAGAGAGGGAGGCAGAGGCCAAAUCGUGCAGGGAUUUGGGAACGAUGGGCUUUCUUCUAAGGCUAUGGGAGGCCAUUAAAGGAGUUUUAAGUGCGGCAGCGCCAUAAUCUGUUGCACAUUGAGAAGUAUUACUCUGAAUGCAGCUUGAAAACUAAGCAGUAGUGAAGUAAGGGUAGAAGUAGGAGGACCAGUCAGAAGGCAAGGGCAGUAGGUCAAGCAAGAGAUGGUGGUGGCCGUGGAGAAGAAGAGGGAACCAGCAUAGGAUGGAUUCUGCAGUGUGAGUCAGCAGAACUUGCUGGUGGACUCGAUGGGAUAAGGAGAGGGUGCUUCUAAUGUUCUGAGCACAACGGUCAGCACAUAUGAUACACUUAAUAGGCUCUAGCUGUUUGCUGCCAUCAUUGACAAAUGGCCAGUUACCAGACACCAAGGGACAGGCCCGGGAAGGAAUCUUGAACUCAUUCAAAUGAUGGCAUGACGCCUACAGCACAUGUGUGAUGUCCAUGUUGGCUCUUCUCUUUGUUAAUAAAUGGCAUUUUUAGAGAAAACGGGACCUGCAAGUUUGACAGUGUAUUCAGGAACCAGAAAUGUUGAUUUCCAGUUCAUCUCACCGCCAUCAACUCACUGUAUGAGCGUCAGCCUCUCUUAGGCUUGAUUUCUUCAUCUAGAACUAUGAAACGUUUUGAGCACUUUCUGUGUGCCAGGUACCAUGCCACGCCAAGCACUCUGUAUAUGCUCAUCUCCGCUUAAUCUUCCCUGCAACUCUUCCAGGAGGGCACUAAAUUGUUCUCCAUUUCCAGGUAGGAACACUGAGCUCGCGAUCCCACAGCUAGUAAAUGGCAAAGCUGUGACUCAAAUCUAGGUGCUUCUUCCCUUAAAUCCACAUUUAUAACCCUCUGUGAUAUAAGAAGCCACAGUGGGUCUUGAGAAUUGGUUUGCUUCCAGUUUUCAACUUCUGGACCUCAAUUCAGGGUCACCGUGGGACUCAAAACUACUGAGAACUAAUCUGGAAUACUUAAAAAAAAAAGCCCACAAUUCAUACAGAGAUUAGAGAUUAGUGUCAAGUAUGUAUUUAUUUAUUGAUCCUUUCUCCCUCUCCCUUUGGUAACUUGUAAGAUACAGCAACAGGAAAUUUGAAGUCCAGCGUUUUAUGAAAUCUUAUGUUUAAGAUUUCUGUGAAAGGAAGCUGCUUGAGUGAGAUUUGGUUUCCAUUAUUCACUUGCAAGAAAAGAUGAGAAAAUGGGGUCAGGGGGAUUUCCUGAAGGUGCAGGGAGCAGGGAAGGUAAGCCCUUGGGCUAUUUUCUGCUUCCAGUCACCCCACCCUCUAGAGUUGCCUGGCUCCUAAUAGGGGUUUCGGAAAGGUUCCCUUCCAGUCCCCACCACUGGAGGUCAUCAGUUAUGUGACAUCCAGUUGUGCUGGGGGAAGAGAGGGAGGCUGGGGGAGGCCCACAGAAAGACAGAGAAAUGCCCCCAUGGCAUUUUCCUCUUGAAGUUCAAUGGGAAACUGAAUAAUAACAUGGAAGCCAUUUCAGAGAGGAGAUACACACACACACUCAUGUACGCUGUGUGCACACACACCCCCACUCUCAGACACUUUGCAACUGCCCAGUGUUGGCAAGAGUGUAGGGAAAGGGGCACUCUCAUACCUAUUUGAGUAAUGAUUGUAACUCAGCCUCUGAUGAUUUCUGAAGGACAGUGUAACAGUCGUAUAUCAAAUGCCUUUAAAAGUACAUCUCCUUUGCUUGUUGGAGAAAUACCUGAUUCUAGGACUGGGGAAGGAAAUACACAUCAUGAGCCUGGAGCAUUUUGUAGUGCCAGAAAGUAAGGAAGUGCUCAAAACAAACCCCCAGCAAACCCCUCACUGAUGAGGGCAUGUCAGGGGCCAUAGGAGCUGAUGAAAAGAGCUCCCAAAGGCCAGAGCUGAACAAUUUGACCAAUAAUAAACAGAAUAGUAUUUAUUGGUUUAUAAUCCAAAGUGUAAAACUAAAUAUCCAUGAGUCCAUACUGAUAGAAACUACUGAAUAAAUAAAUAAAGAAGAGACAAAUCUCAUGUUCAGAAGAAUUUACAAUAUGUGUGCAGACACUCUGCCCUGAUUGAGGGAGAAAACAACUCCUUACUCCGUAGGUGUGGUUUGCUUAUAGUGACUUCCUUCCAGAAUGUACAGUAUGGGAAGUAGGGAAAGAGUAGCUUUCCGGUGAAAAACCUUAACAAGCACAGCCUGGGCCAAGCAAUCAAGGUCAGCAUCAGCAGUGCUAAGUCCUAUUGCUGGCGACCUGGAUAUGUGAUGAGAAUAACAGGGCGUCUCUAUAGUUCUCAAGGGCCCAUAACCAUGACUUAAUCAUGACAAAAACAUCAGACAAAUCCCAGCCAAGGGACAGUCUACAAAAUACCUGGCCAGUACUCCUCGAAACUGCCAGUGUUGUCAAAGAUAAGAAAGUUGAGACACUGUCACAUCCAAGAGGAGACUAAGGAGACAUGAUGACCAAAUGAAAUGUGGUACUUGGGCAAAAUCUGGAACAGCACGAGAACAUCAGAGAAAAACCAAGGAAAUCUGAAUAAAAUACAGACUUCAUUUAGUGCUAGUGUGCCAAUAUUGGUUCAUUGUAAAAAACACACUUUACUGAUGUAAGAUGUUAAUAAUAGAAAAAACUACAUGUUGGAACCCUUGGGACUAUCUUUGUAAUUUUUCUGUAAAUCUAAGGCUGCUAUAAAAAAUAAAGUUUAUUUUAGAAACAUGCCCUGUGACCCAGGUGUUUCCCUUCCUUCUCCUUUUGGAAAUAAUUAAGGAUGAACCUGCACAUUCAUCCACAUAGAUAUGUGUCACAGAGGUGUGGGAUAACAAGUGAGAAUUAGAAAUAAUUUAAAUGUCCAGGUACAGUAAAUCCAUACAAUUCAGUCUUGGAUCACAAUCUUAUAGACAUGUAUUUCCUUUCUUUUUUAAGUUUAUUUACUUAUUUUGAGAGAGAGAGAGAGAGAGAGAGAAAGAGAGAGAGAGAGAGAGAAAAUGAAUCCCAUGCAGGCUUUGUGCUGACAGGGCAGCGCCCACACAGGGCUUGACCUUAAGAAUGGUGAGAUCAUGACCUGAGCCGAAACCAAGAGCCAGCCACUUAACUAACUGAGCCACUCAGGUGCCCCUAGACAUAUAUUUUCUUGAUAAGAAAAGGUAUUUAUGAUUGCUAGUUGAGUGGAAAAAGCAGAUUCUGAAAGAGCCUGUGAAGCAUGUAUUUUUAUGUAUGCAUGAAGGGGUAAAGAUAAAUAUCUUUCAGUGUGUUAAAGGUAAUUAUCACUGAUGCAUAAUGCUAUGGAUUUUUCUUUCUUUUCAUGGAAACAGUAUUUGUUACAGAAAGUACAGAUCAGCAAAAAGUAAAAUGUUACUUUCUCAAUUUAAAAAAAAAAAAAAGAAGGCUGGAAAUGAUUCCUUUAUAAAUCCAGCCGCAGCAACAGGAGACUCCAUCCUAAGAAGGGAGUUCUGAGGGGCGCCUGGGUGGCUCAGUCAGUUAAGCGGCCGACUUCAGUUCAGGUCGUGAUCUCAUGGUUCGUGAGUUCCAGCCCCGCGUCGGGCUCCGUGCUGACAGCUCAGAGCCUGGAGUCUGUUUCAGAUUCUGUGUCUCCCUCUCUCUGACCCUCCCCUGUUCAUGUUCUGUCUCUCCCUGUCUCAAAAAUAAAUAAAACGUUAAAACAAAAAAAAAAAAAAAGAAGGGAGUUCUGAGAGUAGAUGGGGCAUUGGCAGGCUAGUGAGUGUCUCCCUACAGACAUGCACCACCUGAACAGACCUGCUGGAACCGCCCCCGCCCGCCCCCCCCCCCACCCGGCUCCCAUAGAAACAGGCCACCACCCACUUAGCCCCUGUGGAGUGCAAGAAGGGUAGCCACCUAUAAAAACAGCAAACAGGGUGCAGGGAGAUCAAAGCUGGCACUGUGGUCAGAGGGUGGACCCGAGGCCAGGCUGGAGACCCAAGCCUCUCUCAGAGGCGCCCACACUGGUCUGUAAAGGCAGAGGCAGCUGGAGGGCUGAGAUGCAAACCCAGUGUCUGUUGCCUUCUCCUCCUGUAGUAAUCCUACCCUUACCUGGCACUGUCUCAUCCUAAAAAGAAUUUGCGUGUACCUUCCAUCGUAUUACAACAACCCUUGGAAGUAGGUAUCAUCCCAUUUUUCAGGGGAAAAAAUUAAGCCUCAGAAGACUUCAUGGCUAUCACUUACUGACUGCAUAACAGGGUGUUAAAAGAUACAGGCCUGUGUCACACCUCUUACCCAAGCCCAGUUGCAUAUCUCAGGGUUCUGGAGUCUGCAUAAUCUAGAUCCACCAUUUACCAACUGGGUUUACCCUGAGGAAGUUACGUACCUUUGCUUGGCCUCCAUUUUCUCAUCUGUCGAAUGAAGAUCAUAAUACCCAUCCAAAAGCUACUAUUAGGGUUUAGUGAGAUUGUGUGUAUAAAUUGCUUAGCACAGCGCAUGGACCAUUAAGUCGGCCGUCUGUGAAUAAUGGUUAUUAUUGAAGAGAAGGUUCGUGGGAUAAAGUAGAAUGCGAUCUGGGGAGAAGGAUCCUUUUCCCCGUCUUUCCUGUGAUUUGAGAAGGAAGAUGCAGCAAGGCUGGAGCCACCUGAGACUUUUUUAAGAGCCAUGAUGAACUGACGAGUCAGAGGGCUUUUGCUCCCACCAGGCUUUAGUUCUUGGCUCUCUGUAGUGGGUCCUAAUCAAGCAGUGCUAUUCAACAACCUGCGUUUGGACCCCGCCAGAGAAAGAGGUGAAGGAACCUGGAACAUUUAGGCCAGCCUUCAGAUUGAGCUGGAGAGGGACAGGGAGAGGGAUGUACACAGGAAGCAAGAGAGAAAACAGUAUAAAUGAGAGCCAGUUAAUUAGCUCAGCGAGCCUGUGUGUCAGAAAGGAGCUUGGCUUUUGUCCGGUUUGGACUUUUCCUAAAUUUCACUUAGAACGCGAUGCAUCCUGAUUGCCCAGAGUCCCCCAGCAAAGCCAGGACUAAAACUUUGAAGUCCUCUCGUGUUUUUCUCAGUUAACCUGGGAUAAACUGAGGACAUUUCACUUCCUGUUAUAUUCAUACCUCACUUAGUUCCAUAGGCAGCGGCUAAAAAUCGAAGUUCUAAUUCUUUACAGCACGGUGACCCCUGCUCACUGGCAGGCUAGGGCAGGUGACAAGGGGCACAGAUGUGGCUGUCCUGCUCUGUCUGGUGGAGGAGUGUUCCUGGAUCUGGGCGUGCGGUCCACCCCCGAAGCCAGACCGGCCACACGCUUACUGGAACUGGGCAGCCACAGCCUCAGGUGGCUAAUGGAGGCUGCCGGUGAGCUCCGUGACGAUGCCUGUGUGGCUUCACUCUCGGAGACUACUAAAUCUAUCUUCUCAAAUCUAACCUUCCUCCCUUGUUGAUACCUCUUAAUUUCUCUAUCCUCUCGAGUUGAAUAAUCCUUUUACGGCAACAAUGAAUUAAUAAAUAGCCAAGGACUCAGCAGAUAGGAGCGAUGCCAAAUCAAAUUAAGUUGUAUUAUAUUCUCAGGAAAAGAAGCUAUUAAACUCGCGAGGUCAGAGUGCCGCACACCUCAUUUAUUAACGUCCUCUCAUAAGCUGCCGUCUCCGGAGACACGAGUGGAGAGGCUGAGCUCCUGUCCGCGUGAACUGCCUAAAGAAUCGCCACUCUUGUCAGCAGGUGUUCAGGGGCUGUGUGUGCCGGGGGCUGUGUUGUACCCCUGGCAGAUCCCUCGAUUUCACGCAAUCCCUCCUCCACAGUGUGCCUGGCUGACCGAGGGGGCACGGCCUUCUGCUGGCUGGGGCUCCCUAGUCCCAUCCCAGCCCCAACCCGCCGUGACCCUGGCUCCCCGGCCAGGGGUGUGUCAGAUGGCAUGCCACUCUCCCAGUCCGGAUUUAGGGGCUCUCGGUUCCUUAGCGAAACUUUGUCUCCUACCUGCUAAAAUUAUUUAGAAAAAAUUAGGUGCCAGGGCGCCUGGUUGGCUCAGUCGGUGAAGCGCCCGACCCUUGAUUUUGGCUCAGGUCAUGCCCCCAGGGUGGUGAGCUCAAGCCCGGUGUUGGGCUCUGAGCUGAGUGUGGAGUCUGCUGAGGAUUCACUCGCUCUCUCUGCCCCUCCCCCACUCGUUCUUUUUCUCUUUCUCUCUCUGCCCCCUCCCCCACUCGUGCUGUCUCCCUCUCUCUUUCUCUCUCUCUCUC